Molecule: antisense RNA, 187 nt
Filed under: Rivularia sp. PCC 7116
Lineage: Bacteria; Bacillati; Cyanobacteriota; Cyanophyceae; Nostocales; Rivulariaceae
Description: Antisense RNA which regulates isiA expression
Rfam family: Antisense RNA which regulates isiA expression
Source: Rfam by way of RNAcentral
CGUAACCGAAGAUUACCGCAGGAUUCAAUGUGGGGUUAGUUACCAUGCGGACAUCACCACCACCAGGUGCCCAGGUGUCGUAUAAGCCACCAAAGAACAUUGCUUUAAGUACCAACAACAAGGCUCCGCCUCCUAGGAUGAUUAGGUGGAAACCAAUGAUGGUAGUCAUCUUGUUCUUGUCUUUCCA